RNAcentral lists this ribosomal RNA (497 nucleotides) under uncultured bacterium. RNAcentral describes it as "partial 16S ribosomal RNA". It matches the Rfam family "Bacterial small subunit ribosomal RNA", at positions 28 to 507 of the family's 1533-position model. The record is from RNAcentral.
GAUGAACGCUGGCGGCGUGCCUAAUACAUGCAAGUCGAGCGAACGGACGAGAAGCUUGCUUUUCUGAUGUUAGCGGCGGACGGGUGAGUAACACGUGGAUAACCUACCUAUAAGACUGGGAUAACUUCGGGAAACCGGAGCUAAUACCGGAUAAUAUUUUGAACCGCAUGGUUCAUAAGUGAAAGACGGUCUUGCUGUCACUUAUAGAUGGAUCCGCGCUGCAUUAGCUAGUUGGUAAGGUAACGGCUUACCAAGGCAACGAUGCAUGGCCGACCUGAGAGGGUGAUCGGCCACACUGGAACUGAGACACGGUCCAGACUCCUACGGGAGGCAGCAGUAGGGAAUCUUCCGCAAUGGGCGAAAGCCUGACGGAGCAACGCCGCGUGAGUGAUGAAGGUCUUCGGAUCGUAAAACUCUGUUAUUAGGGAAGAACAUAUGUGUAAGUAACUGUGCACAUCUUGACGGUACCUAAUCAGAAAGCCACGGCUAACUACGUG